UCGCAAAUAUAUGAAUGCUAGUGUAAUAAUUUGGAUUAGAAAUUUUAAUAAAAUUAUUAUUACCAAGAAAAUAUUAGGGAAUGUUUUUAUUAAAAAUUUAUUAAAGAAGGUUAUGUUAAGAUUAAUAACUAACUCUAUGGAUCAAAGAUUGUGAUGGGCUGACUAAUGUUUUGCGAUGGUUCCGAGCGGUGGUCAUUCUAGCGAGGGAGCUCGAGAGAAGCAAGGGUGUGCGCGCGAUUUCGGCGAAGGGGAUCGAGAGGGGCAAGGCGUGAGCACGAUUCCGGCGAAGGAGCUCGGGAUAGGCAAGUACUAUCCCAUGGUAGAUAUAGGACUGAGCUUCUUUAAGAUUUUCAGAUGUGAUAUCGGAGAAGAAAAUGAUAAUAAGACAUUGGCAGAUGGCACAAAGACAGAAUGAUCUAGGGAAGGAGAUGGAAGUUAAGACACACUGUCUUGGACCAUAGAAUCUUAUGUACAAUCAAACUUUUGACUGUAAAGAGAUUUAAAACUUUUGUACAUGUAAAUGAAUAUAUAUAUAAAAAAAAAACUUCUCUACUA
This is a long non-coding RNA of Zingiber officinale, 555 nucleotides long. RefSeq lists it as uncharacterized. The record is from RefSeq and is a predicted model, not a curated record. The transcript is spliced from 2 exons. Lineage: Eukaryota; Viridiplantae; Streptophyta; Magnoliopsida; Zingiberales; Zingiberaceae.